AUGAAUCAGAAAGUCAAGAGGUUCAUCGAUUGGAGACGUGACAUGUAUGACUUAGUCUCAUGUGCGUUGCUUAGCAAAGAGUGAAGACUGGGUUUGCAAUCAUAAAAAAAAAAAGACUGGGUUUGCCAAGAAAGGGUGGGAAACGAUAAGCAUGCGAACUUCUUUAAGUUUACUAGGGUUAACAUUCGGAUUAAAGUAAAGAAGAGGUUAGUAAGGAUAAGGAUGAAAAGCAAGCGAUCGAUCAAGAAUGAAGUAGAAAGAGAGAUACAGCAGAUUCUUGUGAGCUGGCAUGCGCGUGAUCUGGAACGGAUUCCUUUGUAUAUAUAUAUGCUAAGCUUUUGAGUUGUUUAAACAUGGGUU
RNAcentral lists this long non-coding RNA (360 nucleotides) under Rosa chinensis. Its description in RNAcentral is "sRNA RchiOBHm_Chr2g0102231". The record is from RNAcentral. Lineage: Eukaryota; Viridiplantae; Streptophyta; Magnoliopsida; Rosales; Rosaceae.